This 2973-nucleotide unclassified non-coding RNA is filed under the name Hevea brasiliensis (rubber tree). Lineage: Eukaryota; Viridiplantae; Streptophyta; Magnoliopsida; Malpighiales; Euphorbiaceae. The record is from RNAcentral.
GAUUUGUAAAGUGCCAGGAUCAAAGCCUGUAGAGCGUAGAGUAUUGUCGUCGUCGACGACUUUACCUUCGGGUGUUAGAAUCGCUAACAAGAUUUAUGAAACUGAAGAUGACAAACACUUGAAAAUAUGACCACUGCCACCGCCGCUGCAGCUACCACCAAAGCUGAAGUGACCAUGACCUCUCCGACUAACUCUCAAAAUCAAGCCCCAAGCUCUCCCUCACAAGAUCCCAAUCACAAUCAACAACAAAACCCCCCACAAUCAAAUGAUCCCGAAUCCCCUAAAACCCUAACCCUAGAAAUUCCGGAAGCAGAACAUCCUAACCCACAAGACGAUGAUCCCAACCAAGAUGACCCAGAAGAUAUCACCCCUAUUUCUCCAACAAUCUGCGAUCCCCACGUCUCCUCCACCUCUGUUGCGACUAAUUUCACCGCCUUUCGCCGCGGCGGAGGCGGCGGGAAACGUAGUAAGCGAAAUCAUCACCAGGAAAGGAAGUAUCAGAAAAGGCUCAAAAUUCUUGUUGGAACCCUUAACCCCGUCCCGUUUGUGCCUGUCAAAGCCCUCGAUUUCCCCUCCCAUGAAGCUCUCCUAAGACGACUUGGACUAUGGGAAUUUGUUCACCUGCAGUUCGAUGUCAACAUCCGCACCGAUCUUAUUAUGCAAUUGAUUCUGACAUUUAACCCCGCCGGUCGCCAUAGCUACGUCAACGGGUGUCGCAUCAAAGUCAGCCGCGCUGAUUUGGCUCGCGCAUUGAAUCUGCCGACGAAAAAGGAUAGGGUGGAUACUGUGCAAGAGUUGAAGGAGAGCGAAGAAUCUAUAGGAUUCAUGCAGGAAUUCGUGUCUACUUGGUUGUUGUUGCAUGAAGAUACCUGGAUGAUGACUGACGAUAUUUUGAGUGUGACUAAUGCGAUUAAAGAAGGGCAUUUUGAGAAGGUCGAUUUUGCUAAGUUAAUUUGGCUUAUGCUCGAGAAGGAGUUGGCGGCAGCACCCAAUUUAGGUAAUUGUUAUUAUGCCUCACAUUUGCAAAAACUGAUAAAACAUCAGAAGAGUGACUUGUUUAAGGAAGAGCCUGUUAAAAUGGAGGUCGAUGUGAAGGACGAUGGAGAGGAGGAAGAUGUGAAAAUAAGUCACGAACUUCGUGUAGGAUCAGAGUUGGAAGAGUAUAAUAUUGAAUUAAGUCUUGGUGGACUGGAUAAUUCAGGGAAAGAUGAUGGUGGAAAAGAGGGAAAGGAACAAGUGGGUGAUGAGGAUACUAUGGAUUUUGAGGAAAGUAAGGAGGAUGAAGAACAGGGGCAGUGGCUAAAGAGCAGCGUGGGUGGGCAUUUUCUGCGGCAAUGUAAUCUUGGUGAAGUUGGGGAUGUGGAAUGUGAGGAGAGAAAGCAGAAAGAAGAGGUGGGAGAAAAAGAGGAAAAAGACGGUGAAGAUGGAGAAGAAGAUAAUGAUGAGGAAGUGGGCUUUAGUAUUUCACCGAAAGGGGAUACUUUGGAUGGUGCAAAUUCUGAGAAUCUAAUUGCAGCCAUGGAGGCAGCACAAAUUCCUUUUAGUUCAGGGUUACAAAUUCGUGAUAAUGUGUCCUCAGGGGACUUUCUUGCAUCUAGGGUUGAUACACAAACAAUUCCUGGUAGUUCAUCACUUUUCAGUAACAGUAAUGGAAACAAGAGGGAAAUUGAGCAUCUUGAUAAUGAUAUACCCCAUCAUGCACUUAACGGUGGUAAUAAGAGGAUGAGGAGUGAUGGACCAUGGGAUAUGAAGUCAUCCUCUGAUUUUGAAAUUUAUAUGGAGCAAAUGGAACAUAUAAUGGGAAAAGCUAGGAUGGCGUAUGAGGCAAAGGAGCAGGCUUAUCAUGAUAUAAGCAUGAAUCAGCAAGUGUUGCUUAGUGAGCUGCAGCGGCGGGAUAAUGUGAUUCAGCAUUUACACAAGACCAGGAUAGAGGAGCAACAAAAAGGGCAUUCAGAGGUUUAUAGGCUUGAACGUGAAUUAUAUAUGAUGGGAAAUUUAUUAGAAGGGUAUAGGAAGGCUUUGAAGGAGACGCACAAGGCAUUUGCUGAGUAUCGCGUGAAAUGCCCGCUGCCUGAAGAACCAAUUUACAAGGAUACUGGGUCUGGGGGUCUUGUUUUGAGCACCAUGGAAUUGGAGAAGCGGCGCUUGAAACAAGAGGAAGAAGAAAGGCAAAGCCGUUUGUUGAUUGAGAAGAAGGUUAAGGAAUUUGAGGUAGAGUGUAUUACUAAAUUUGAAGCAUAUAAAGAUGGAGUGGAGUUAUUGGUUAGCAAGUUGAUGGAGGUUGAAAAGGAAGUCAAUGUCUUGAAGGAAAUAUUUGCAAAACGGAAGCUUGCAAAGAUGUCAGAAUGCCCUCCAGCUGAAGAAUGAGCUUCAAGUCUAUUUAAAGUGUGUGGAAAUUUAGGUGAAUGACAGCUAUCUAUGUAAGUUGAAUGGCACAACUCUUUCUGUGUUUGAAACUGGAAGCUCAAAUUUAUGUUAAUUGCUGACAGUUCUCUUACUUCUGAUAUGUUAUCUGUUUGAUCAAUAUUUUUGGGUGACAUCAACUACUUUGGGUUUUACUUGGUGGCUAAGUUGUGAAUUUUAUGUUCAAAAUUAGCUUAACAUUACACGAGAAGUUAACUCAAUUUUACACCCAGGCCAUCUAAGGCAGGAAAUAGAUUAUUUUGGUGUCCAUUUCCAAUUAGUUGACCAUCACUUUUGUUACUGGAUGGCUAGAGUGACAGCCUGGGGCCUUUUACAAGUUGUUUAGUAAUGUAGAUAGUCUUCUGGAUCUGAAAUGAAAUGUACUUCUUAGGAGUCGGUCCUAUCUUCAAAGAUUGGAAAUAUUAAAAAAAUUAACAUAACUUCGUAUUAUCAAAUUGUAUUUUGAAGUAGUUGUAAAAUGUCUAUUGAUCAUGGUUGGCAAAGAUCAGUUAAAAAAAAAAGAAAAAGGGAAAAAUUGUGUUGGUUAGAAAUCUGUUAGCUAUUAUAUUU